AUUGAACGCUGGCGGAAUGCUUUACACAUGCAAGUCGAACGAUGAACCUUAGCUUGCUAAGGGGAUUAGUGGCGAACGGGUGAGUAAUAUAUCGGAACGUGCCUUGUAAUGGGGGAUAACUAGUCGAAAGAUUAGCUAAUACCGCAUACGCCCUGAGGGGGAAAGUAGGGGAUCUUCGGACCUUACGUUAUAAGAGCGGCCGAUAUCUGAUUAGCUAGUUGGUGGGGUAAUGGCCUACCAAGGCGACGAUCAGUAGCUGGUCUGAGAGGACGACCAGCCACACUGGAACUGAGACAUGGUCCAGACUCCUACGGGAGGCAGCAGUGGGGAAUUUUGGACAAUGGGCGCAAGCCUGAUCCAGCCAUUCCGCGUGAGUGAAGAAGGCCUUCGGGUUGUAAAGCUCUUUCGCAAGGGAAGAAAACUUACCAUCGAAUAAAUGGUGAGGCUGACGGUACCUUGAUAAGAAGCACCGGCUAACUACGUG
This 484-nucleotide ribosomal RNA is filed under the name uncultured bacterium. RNAcentral describes it as "partial 16S ribosomal RNA". It matches the Rfam family "Bacterial small subunit ribosomal RNA", at positions 30 to 507 of the family's 1533-position model. The record is from RNAcentral.